AACGAAGCCGCAUGACUUUGUUAUCAAAGAUUUAUCGCUCGGAGAUGGACUCGCGUCCGAUUAGUUAGUUGGUGAGGUAACGGCUCACCAAGACCGCGAUCGGUAGCCGGACUGAGAGGUUGAACGGCCACAUUGGGACUGAGACACGGCCCAGACUCCUACGGGAGGCAGCAGUGGGGGAUAUUGCGCAAUGGGGGCAACCCUGACGCAGCAACGCCGCGUGAAGGAUGAAGGUUUUCGGAUUGUAAACUUCUUUUAUCAGGGACGAAGAAUGACGGUACCUGAAGAAUAAGCUCCGGCUAACUACGUGCCAGCAGCCGCGGUAAUACGUAGGGAGCAAGCGUUGUCCGGAUUUACUGGGUGUAAAGGGUGCGUAGGCGGCUUUGUAAGUCAGAUGUGAAAUCUAUGGGCUUAACCCAUAAACUGCAUUUGAAACUACAGAGCUUGAGUGAAGUAGAGGCAGGCGGAAUUCCCUGUGUAGCGGUGAAAUGCGUAGAGAUAGGGAGGAACACCAGUGGCGAAGGCGGCCUGCUGGGCUUUAACUGACGCUGAGGCACGAAAGCGUGGGUAGCAAACAGGA
Molecule: ribosomal RNA, 580 nt
Filed under: uncultured rumen bacterium
Lineage: Bacteria
Description: bacterial SSU rRNA
Rfam family: Bacterial small subunit ribosomal RNA
Source: RNAcentral